RNAcentral lists this transfer RNA (74 nucleotides) under Trichonephila inaurata madagascariensis. Its description in RNAcentral is "tRNA-Arg". It matches the Rfam family "tRNA". Rfam says of the family: Transfer RNA (tRNA) molecules are approximately 80 nucleotides in length. The record is from RNAcentral. Lineage: Eukaryota; Metazoa; Arthropoda; Arachnida; Araneae; Nephilidae.
GUCCCUGUAGCGCAACGGAUAGCGCGUUGGACUUCUAAUCCAAAGGUCGUUGGUUCAAAUCGCACCUGGGAACG